RNAcentral lists this ribosomal RNA (253 nucleotides) under uncultured bacterium. Its description in RNAcentral is "partial 16S ribosomal RNA". It matches the Rfam family "Bacterial small subunit ribosomal RNA", at positions 524 to 776 of the family's 1533-position model. The record is from RNAcentral.
UACGUAGGGUGCAAGCGUUGUCCGGAAUUACUGGGCGUAAAGAGCUCGUAGGUGGUUUGUCGCGUUGUUCGUGAAAACUCACAACUCAACUGUGGGCGUGCGGGCGAUACGGGCAGACUAGAGUACUGCAGGGGAGACUGGAAUUCCUGGUGUAGCGGUGGAAUGCGCAGAUAUCAGGAGGAACACCGGUGGCGAAGGCGGGUCUCUGGGCAGUAACUGACGCUGAGGAGCGAAAGCGUGGGGAGCGAACAGG